RNAcentral lists this ribosomal RNA (492 nucleotides) under uncultured bacterium. RNAcentral describes it as "bacterial SSU rRNA". It matches the Rfam family "Bacterial small subunit ribosomal RNA", at positions 29 to 512 of the family's 1533-position model. The record is from RNAcentral.
AGUGAACGCUGGCGGCAGGCCUAAUACAUGCAAGUCGAACGGCAGCACAGCAGAGCUUGCUCUGUGGGUGGCGAGUGGCGGACGGGUGAGGAAUACAUGGGAAUCUGCCCAGUCGUGGGGGAUAACGUAUGGAAACGUACGCUAAUACCGCAUGCGCCCUACGGGGGAAAGUCGGGGACCGCAAGGCCUGACGCGAUUGGAUGAGCCCAUGUUCGAUUAGCUAGUUGGCGGGGUAAAGGCCCACCAAGGCGACGAUCGAUAGCUGGUCUGAGAGGAUGAUCAGCCACACUGGAACUGAGACACGGUCCAGACUCCUACGGGAGGCAGCAGUCGAGAGGCUUCGGCAAUGGGGGAAACCCUGACCGAGCGACGCCGCGUGAGCGAUGAAGCCCUUCGGGUGUAAGCUCUUUGUGAGGGAAGAACUGCAACGGCCUAAUACGCUGUUGUUUGUACGGUACCUUACGAAUAAGCUCCGGCUAACUCCGUGCCACG